Molecule: ribosomal RNA, 422 nt
Filed under: uncultured bacterium
Lineage: Bacteria
Description: partial 16S ribosomal RNA
Rfam family: Bacterial small subunit ribosomal RNA
Source: RNAcentral
AAUUUUGGACAAUGGGGGAAACCCUGACCCAGCCAUCCCGCGUGUAUGAUGAAGGCCUUCGGGUUGUAAAGUACUUUUGGCAGAGAAGAAAAGGUAUCUCUUAAUACGAGAUACUGCUGACGGUAUCUGCAGAAGAAGCACGGGCUAUCUACGUCCCAUCAGCGGCGGUAAUACGUAGGGUGCAAGCGUGUAUCGGAAUUAUGGGGCGUAACGCGUGUGUAGGCGGUUCGGAAAGAAAAAUGUGAAAUCACAGGGCUCAACCUUGGAACUGCAUUUUUAACUGCCGAGCUAGAGUAUGUCAGAGGGGGGUAGAAUUCCACGUGUAGCAGUGAAAUGCGUAGAUAUGUGGAGGAAUACCGAUGGCGAAGGCAGCCCCCUGGGAUAAUACUGACGCUCAGACACGAAAGCGUGGGGAGCAAACA